Molecule: long non-coding RNA, 363 nt
Organism: Sinocyclocheilus grahami
Lineage: Eukaryota; Metazoa; Chordata; Actinopteri; Cypriniformes; Cyprinidae
Exons: 4
Source: RefSeq, a predicted model, not a curated record
UAUUGUCAGGUCAUCAGUGGAGACAGAACACAGCAGAUUACAGUAGGAGUGAGGAUAAAACCUGAAGUCCAACAUGUGAGUCAGUCACCAACAUUUUAAGGUCAAAGUAUUCAGCUAAAGCUGUUUGAGAUAGACAAAAUAUGGACUAAACAGGAGAAAGACAAAAUGAAUAAAUCUGCUCUAAUGGCUGAAGAGCUUCAGGAUAUGUUAAUUAAGGCUGGCAAAGAAAAAGACAGACAGCUGGAAAGAGCUGAACAGGAGUUGAGAGACGUGAAAGAUGUUGGACAGACUCUUAAGACUCAACCCUCAUGCUCAGUUUUUGGACAGAGACAAAUCGAAUCCCGUUUAAUAGCUAAGAAAUGU